This 489-nucleotide ribosomal RNA is filed under the name uncultured bacterium. Its description in RNAcentral is "bacterial SSU rRNA". It matches the Rfam family "Bacterial small subunit ribosomal RNA", at positions 903 to 1397 of the family's 1533-position model. The record is from RNAcentral.
AAAUGAAUUGACGGGAGCCCGCACAAGCAGUGGAGUAUGUGGUUUAAUUCGAUGCAACGCGAAGAACCUUACCAGGACUUGACAUCCAAGGAAUCCGUCGUAAUGGAUGGAGUGCCCUUCGGGGAAUCUUGAGACAGGUGGUGCAUGGUUGUCGUCAGCUCGUGUCGUGAGAUGUUGGGUUAAGUCCCGCAACGAGCGCAACCCUUACGGUUAGUUGCUACGCAAGAGCACUCUAGCCGGACUGCCGUUGACAAAACGGAGGAAGGUGGGGACGACGUCAAAUCAUCAUGCCCCUUACGUUCUGGGCUACACACGUACUACAAUGGCGCAAACAAAGGGAAGCGAAGGAGCGAUCCGGAGCAAAACUCGAAAAUGCGUCCCAGUUCAGACUGUAGGCUGCAACUCGCCUAUACGAAGUUGGAAUUGCUAGUAAUCGCGGAUCAGCAUGCCGCGGUGAAUACGUUCCCGGGCUUUGUACACACCGCCCGU